RNAcentral lists this ribosomal RNA (472 nucleotides) under uncultured bacterium. Its description in RNAcentral is "bacterial SSU rRNA". It matches the Rfam family "Bacterial small subunit ribosomal RNA", at positions 355 to 825 of the family's 1533-position model. The record is from RNAcentral.
UGGGGAAUAUUGGACAAUGGGCGAAAGCCUGAUCCAGCCAUGCCGCGUGUGUGAAGAAGGUCUUCGGAUUGUAAAGCACUUUAAGUUGGGAGGAAGGGCAGUAACCUAAUACGUUUCUGUCUUGACGUUACCGACAGAAUAAGCACCGGCUAACUCUGUGCCAGCAGCCGCGGUAAUACAGAGGGUGCAAGCGUUAAUCGGAAUUACUGGGCGUAAAGCGCGCGUAGGUGGUUUGUUAAGUUGGAUGUGAAAUCCCCGGGCUCAACCUGGGAACUGCAUUCAAAACUGACAAGCUAGAGUAUGGUAGAGGGUGGUGGAAUUUCCUGUGUAGCGGUGAAAUGCGUAGAUAUAGGAAGGAACACCAGUGGCGAAGGCGACCACCUGGACUGAUACUGACACUGAGGUGCGAAAGCGUGGGGAGCAAACAGGAUUAGAUACCCAAGUAGUCCCUGAGCGGGCUGGCAAGGCGCAU